AAUUUAUAUGCAUAGAUACAGUCGUAGUGCUUGACACAUGCACACAGCAGUAGAUGUACUAAAAAGGAAAUAAUUACAAUCAUGAUGAUGAUUGCUGAUGUCAGUAUAUAUAUUUUAGGGGAAUGUUUUGUUUUUCACCCAAAAUGAACUAUAUUGCUUCAGAAGAGAUUUAUUACUCUGCCUGACUCUUAUAUAUUGUUCUGUUUUUUGUUUGUUUUUGUUAUUUUCAGGUUCAAUGGUGCGUGUUCUUCUAAUGGCCGCCUUCCCACUGGAGGUUUUGAUCCACAGCAAUUUAAAAGGUAAACAGCUUUGAAAGUCAGUUCAAAUGGUUAGCUAAUAGUAUUCUAAAAAGCCUACAACUCUGUCACCAGUUUCUUUACCAAAAAGUACCCAUAAAAGUAUAUCGCAUAUCAUUGUAGUUCAAAUGUUUAGUUGUACAAAUGUCAGAUUUUUGGAAAUCUAAAACUAGUCAAACACUCAAAUGUUCAUGCUUUUUAUAGGAGGACAAAUCAAAACGGACAUCGGCGCAGAGUGAAGAACUGUCCUUCAUAAGGACACUAUGACAGCCAUAUAUAUGGCAGUAAGGAAGAGGUUUCCCAAUGUGUCCAGAAGGGCUUUGAGGAUUGCAGUGAAAGCUGGGGGAACUGAGACUGCUGGAAAAGGAAAAGAAAUUACAUUUAAAGUAUGUUGACUUAUGUUCAUACAAUCACACACACAUAUACACACAC
Oreochromis aureus is the source of this 728-nucleotide long non-coding RNA. The record is from Ensembl. NCBI's taxonomy places the organism in Eukaryota, Metazoa, Chordata, Actinopteri, Cichliformes, Cichlidae.